UAGGGAAUCUUCCGCAAUGGGCGAAAGCUUGACGGAGCAACGCCGCGUGAGUGAUGAAGGUCUUCGGAUCGUAAAACUCUGUUAUUAGGGAAGAACAAAUGUGUAAGUAACUAUGCACGUCUUGACGGUACCUAAUCAGAAAGCCACGGCUAACUACGUGCCAGCAGCCGCGGUAAUACGUAGGCGGCAAGCGUUAUCCGGAAUUAUUGGGCGUAAAGCGCGCGUAGGCGGUUUUUUAAGUCUGAUGUGAAAGCCCACGGCUCAACCGUGGAGGGUCAUUGGAAACUGGAAAACCUGAGUGCAGAAGAGGAAAGUGGAAUUCCAUGUGUAGCGGUGAAAUGCGCAGAGAUAUGGAGGAACACCAGUGGCGAAGGCGACUUUCUGGUCUGUAACUGACGCUGAUGUGCGAAAGCGUGGGGAUCAAACAGGAUUAGAUACCCUGGUAGUCCACGCCGUAAACGAUGAGUGCUAAGUGUUAGGGGGUUUCCGCCCCUUAGUGCUGCAGCUAACGCAUUAAGCACUCCGCCUGGGGAGUACGACCGCAAGGUUG
This 550-nucleotide ribosomal RNA is filed under the name uncultured bacterium. RNAcentral describes it as "bacterial SSU rRNA". It matches the Rfam family "Bacterial small subunit ribosomal RNA", at positions 355 to 896 of the family's 1533-position model. The record is from RNAcentral.